UGAGGAAUAUUGGGCAAUGCCCGCCAGGGUGACCCAGCAACGCCGCGUGGAGGAUGAAUGUCGUAAGAUUGUAAACUCCUGUUAGAGGGGAAGAAUAGUACCGGUUGGACCGGUAUAUGACUGUACCCUCAGAGAAAGCCCCGGCUAACUACGUGCCAGCAGCCGCGGUAAUACGUAGGGGGCAAGCCUUGUCCGGAUUUACUGGGCGUAAAGCGCGUGCAGGCGGAUUGGAGAGUUGGAUGUGAAAGCUCCCGGCUUAACUGGGAGAGGUCGUUCAAGACUUCCAGUCUUGAGUGGAGUAGAGGGAAGUGGAAUUCCGGGUGUAGUUGUGAAAUGCGUAGAUAUCCGGUGGAACACCAGUGGCGAAAGCGGCUUCCUGGAAUGUAACUGACGCUCAGACGCGAAAGCUAGGGUAGCAAACG
Molecule: ribosomal RNA, 422 nt
Filed under: uncultured bacterium
Lineage: Bacteria
Description: bacterial SSU rRNA
Rfam family: Bacterial small subunit ribosomal RNA
Source: RNAcentral